Molecule: long non-coding RNA, 775 nt
Filed under: Marmota monax (woodchuck)
Lineage: Eukaryota; Metazoa; Chordata; Mammalia; Rodentia; Sciuridae
Source: RNAcentral
AUUUUUUGGUGGAGGAUGUGUACCCAGGGGUGUGUGUCCACUGAACCACAUUCUAAGUCACCCCCACCUCUUUUUAAAAUUAAGAGACAGGAUCGUGCUAAGUUGCACAGGGCCCUGCUGCAUGGCUGAGGCUGGCUUUGAAAUCGCGAUCCUCCUGCCUCAGCCUCCCAUGCUGCUGGGAUUUCAGGCGUGCACCACCACAUCCAGCUUCUCUCCAAAUUUUCUAUCACACACUAAUGUAUCCAUUCAACAAACCCAUCAAAUACAUGCAACUUACUCACUGAACUAUUACAUGUAAGUAUUUUAAAGAUAGGUAUGUAGCUAUGUCUGGGUUAAUAUCUCAUUUUUAUUAGAAAGGCAUGGGGGUGCGUGCCUGUGAUUGCAGCAUUUGGGAGGCUGAGGCUAAAGGAUCGUAACUGCAAAGCCAGCCUCAGCCACUGAGCGAGGCCCUAAAAAUCUUAGCAAAACCUUCUCUCUAAAUAAGAUUAUAAAAAGGGCUGAGGAUGUGGUUCAGGGGUUAAGCACCCAGGGUUCAAUCCCUGGUACCAAAAUAAUAAGACUUUGCUGAGUCCUUGUCAUGUCCUUAAAACUCACCAGGGCUCCCGUCACCUUCUGUAUCCUAAGGUAAAAAUGGAAGAAAGAGAUCCUGAAGGUCGACUGGCCCAAAGCUGUCAGGACUGGGACAUGCAAAUGUACCUGCAGGAGGAUCUGUGUCCCUGAUGAGCUCAAUAAAGACACGAGUCAAGUGCAAUUUGCUUAAAGGUGAAGAACAUAA